This 377-nucleotide ribosomal RNA is filed under the name uncultured eukaryote. Its description in RNAcentral is "partial 18S ribosomal RNA". It matches the Rfam family "Eukaryotic small subunit ribosomal RNA", at positions 592 to 975 of the family's 1831-position model. The record is from RNAcentral.
CAAUAGCGUAUAUUUAAGUUGUUGCAGUUAAAAAGCUCGUAGUUGGAUUUCGGGUGGGACGCAGCGGUCUCGCAUUGCGUUUGUACUGCUGAAGCCCUCCUUCUUGCCGGGGGCGGCCUCUCGGACUUCACUGUCUGGGGGUCAGAAUCGGCGAUGUUACUUUGAGUAAAUUAGAGUGUUCAAAGCAAGCUUACGCUCUGAAUAUAAUAGCAUGGGAUAACACGACAGGACUCUGGCCUAUCGUGUUGGUCUAUAGGACCAGAGUAAUGAUUAAGAGGGACAGUCGGGGGCAUUCGUAUUCCGUUGUCAGAGGUGAAAUUCUUGGAUUUACGGAAGACGAACAUCUGCGAAAGCAUUUGCCAAGGAUGUUUUCAUUG